GACGAACGCUGGCGGCGUGCCUAAUACAUGCAAGUUGAACGCAACAAAGACACCAGAGCUUGCUCUACCGUCUUUGUUGAGUAGCGAACGGGUGAGUAACGCGUGGGUAACCUGCCUUAUAGCGGGGGAUAACUAUUGGAAACGAUAGCUAAUACCGCAUAACAAUAGAGAUUGCAUAAUCUUUAUUUGAAAGUGCCAACUGGUACACUAUGAGAUGGACCCGCGUUGUAUUAGCUAAGUUGGUAGUGUAAUGGACUACCAAGGCGAUGAUACAUAGCCGACCUGAGAGGGUGAUCGGCCACAUUGGGACUGAGACACGGCCCAAAACUUCCUACGGGGA
RNAcentral lists this ribosomal RNA (340 nucleotides) under uncultured bacterium. Its description in RNAcentral is "bacterial SSU rRNA". It matches the Rfam family "Bacterial small subunit ribosomal RNA", at positions 28 to 347 of the family's 1533-position model. The record is from RNAcentral.